This 94-nucleotide non-coding RNA is filed under the name uncultured Ligilactobacillus sp. Its description in RNAcentral is "yjdF RNA". It matches the Rfam family "azaaromatic riboswitch aptamer (yjdF RNA)". The record is from RNAcentral. Lineage: Bacteria; Bacillati; Bacillota; Bacilli; Lactobacillales; Lactobacillaceae.
AGUAAGAUAAAAACACAGUUUCGGUUGGUAGUCCGAACCAGAAUGAUUUCUGAAGUAUCCUUCCUCCUUAGGUCGUCCGUUCUUACUAAAUAAU